This is a non-coding RNA of Mycena rebaudengoi, 94 nucleotides long. Lineage: Eukaryota; Fungi; Basidiomycota; Agaricomycetes; Agaricales; Mycenaceae. The record is from the annotation of a GenBank genome assembly.
GACUCAGUGGUGUAAUUGGUAACACACUGCUAGACCUUAGAAAGUCCCAAACAGUCUUAUGUAAGAGAUCCCCGUUCAACUCGGGGCUGGGUCA